Zootermopsis nevadensis is the source of this 287-nucleotide long non-coding RNA. RefSeq lists it as uncharacterized. NCBI's taxonomy places the organism in Eukaryota, Metazoa, Arthropoda, Insecta, Blattodea, Termopsidae. The record is from RefSeq and is a predicted model, not a curated record.
UAGAGUGUGGACUGGAUUCUUGUGGCUCGCGGUAGAUUCCGGUGACGGGCGGUUGUGAACAUAAUAACGAAACGCAUGGUUCAAAAGAGAGACUCAGAAACCCGCAGCCGUUCCGUGGGUCGAGAUUCGGGAAUCCAUAUCAUAACACGAUGACGGACGGACAAACACCCAAGCAGAACUAUCGAAAAUUUGAGUUCAAUCAAUUUUCUACACGGAGGAAUUAAGAAGAGCACACAUUGAUCUUAUUAAAAGUGGAGUACGGUAAUAAAUUAACUAUAAACACACAU